RNAcentral lists this transfer RNA (76 nucleotides) under Nitrospinota bacterium. RNAcentral describes it as "tRNA-Glu". It matches the Rfam family "tRNA". From Rfam's summary of the family: Transfer RNA (tRNA) molecules are approximately 80 nucleotides in length. Their secondary structure includes four short double-helical elements and three loops (D, anti-codon, and T loops). Further hydrogen bonds mediate the characteristic L-shaped molecular structure. tRNAs have two regions of fundamental functional importance: the anti-codon, which is responsible for specific mRNA codon recognition, and the 3' end, to which the tRNAs corresponding amino acid is attached (by aminoacyl-tRNA synthetases). tRNAs cope with the degeneracy of the genetic code in two manners: having more than one tRNA (with a specific anti-codon) for a particular amino acid; and 'wobble' base-pairing, i.e. permitting non-standard base-pairing at the 3rd anti-codon position. The record is from RNAcentral. Lineage: Bacteria; Pseudomonadati; Nitrospinota.
GGCCCCAUCGUCUAGUGGCCUAGGACACCGCCCUCUCACGGCGUAAACGGGGGUUCGACUCCCCCUGGGGCUACCA